AUGGCAAUUUACCUAAUCUGCAUGUCUUUUGACUGUAGGAGGAAACCAGAGUACCCGGAAGAAACCCACCAAGCACAGGGAGAACAUGCCACACACAACAGCAUAACAGACUAACCACUUCACCACAGUUCCAGCUCUCAAAAUAUACUUUCUUACUUAUCCUCUAUACCUAUAUUAAUCCUGUAUACUGGGUCGCGAGGCCUGGAGGCUAUCGAUUCAGGGCAUGAGACAGAGUGCCAAUCCAUCGCAUGACCCGCAAACACACACACACACACACACACACACACUAUGUGCAAUUUGGGAACACUGCAUGUUUUUAGACUGUGGGAGGAAACCUGAGUACCCGGAGGAAACCCACCAAGCACAGGCAAGAACAUGCAAACUCCGCACACACAGAGACGGGAAUGAAACCUUCGACCCAUGAGGUGGGAGGCCAGAUCCUCUCAAAAUGUAUAAUUAAAAAUAAAAAAUGUAUUCCUAUUAAGAAUCUUCAAGUUUUGUUAUUUUUGUCAAAGGCGCUAUACAGAUAAAACUGAGCAGGAAUGACAUGUUCAAGUGACUGAGUGAGUGAGUAAGUAAGUGAAUGAUGUUUGCUCAUCAUAAUUAAAUGUUGCAAUAACUGCCAAAGAUGUUUUUUGGGGGAUUUCAUGGGGGUGUUGUUUGUGUUUGUUUGCAUGGCAAGCAUAAAAAUGUCAGCAUUUUUAUUCUAAAACUGUAAACUUCAAUGAAACUGAAAGUAAACGAAAUCGGCAGGUUCAUCCUGAAAAACAGUGUGUAUGUGUGUGUGUGUGUGAGAAAGAGAGAGAGAGAGGUGUUAAAUUAUCAGGUCUGAAAUCCUGUCACAACCCUUCCCAGCCUGAAGCGCCGCUCGCGCGACCCCCACAGCGCCGCUCGCGCGAUCUGAUCCGCCGAAUAACGGUUCAAACGGCUAAAAACAAAUUAGUGCUGAAGCAGCAGCGUUACAGUCUCACAGCAAGCACGGCGUUUCCUCUCAGUAAGGUAUGUUAUAUGGAUUGAUCCAAGGACACUGAGUAGACAGCGAACCGUGAAAGUGAAAGGAGGUGGGGAAGUGCUUUAACCUCUCGGGGGGCCCUGAAUUCCUACAGCUGCCCCUCGCCAUGAGGAGGGGAGGAGGGGAGGAGCCAUGCAUGGCAGCAGCUCCCUAGUGCCUACCCAGGGAAGCCGUUAGCCAGCAGUUCGCUGUCCGGAAGGUCCAUGAAGAUGGAAG
Long non-coding RNA from Clarias gariepinus (North African catfish), 1228 nucleotides. RefSeq lists it as uncharacterized. The transcript has 3 exons. The record is from RefSeq and is a predicted model, not a curated record. NCBI's taxonomy places the organism in Eukaryota, Metazoa, Chordata, Actinopteri, Siluriformes, Clariidae.